UGCCAGCAGCCGCGGUAAGACGAACCGUCCAAACGUUAUUCGGUAUCACUGGGCUUAAAGCGUGCGUAGGCGGCUUGGUAGGUGAGAUGUGAAAGCCCACGGCUCAACCGUGGAAUUGCGUUUCAAACCCCCAAGCUCGAGGAAGAUAGGGGUGAUGGGAACUUAUGGUGGAGCGGUGAAAUGCGUUGAUAUCAUAGGGAACACCGGUGGCGAAAGCGCAUCACUGGAUCUUUUCUGACACUCAAAGGCGAAAGCUAGGGUAGCAAAAGGGAUUAGAUA
RNAcentral lists this ribosomal RNA (279 nucleotides) under uncultured bacterium. RNAcentral's name for it is "partial 16S ribosomal RNA". It matches the Rfam family "Bacterial small subunit ribosomal RNA", at positions 506 to 784 of the family's 1533-position model. The record is from RNAcentral.